GUCCUGUUAGUGUAGUGGUUAUCACGUCUGUCUGACAUACAGAAGGUCCCCAGUUCAAGCCUGGGACAGGACA
Molecule: non-coding RNA, 73 nt
Organism: Amphiamblys sp. WSBS2006
Lineage: Eukaryota; Fungi; Microsporidia; Amphiacanthidae
Source: Rfam